UACAGAGGUCCCGAGCGUUGUUCGGAUUCAUUGGGCGUAAAGGGUGCGUAGGCGGCGGGGCAAGUCUGAUGUGAAAUCCUGGGGCUCAACCCUGGAACUGCAUUGGAUACUUCCUUGCUAGAGUACUGGAGAGGAAACUGGAAUUUACGGUGUAGCAGUGAAAUGCGUAGAGAUCGUAAGGAAGACCAGUGGCGAAGGCGAGUUUCUGGACAGUUACUGACGCUGAGGCACGAAGGCCAGGGGAGCAAACGGG
This 253-nucleotide ribosomal RNA is filed under the name uncultured bacterium. RNAcentral's name for it is "partial 16S ribosomal RNA". It matches the Rfam family "Bacterial small subunit ribosomal RNA", at positions 524 to 776 of the family's 1533-position model. The record is from RNAcentral.